Molecule: non-coding RNA, 69 nt
Filed under: Ruminococcus sp.
Lineage: Bacteria; Bacillati; Bacillota; Clostridia; Eubacteriales; Oscillospiraceae
Source: RNAcentral
AGCCGAAACAGCGGACAAGCUCCGCUGUCUGCCGUGAACGGUCGCACGGUACUGAUGAGGCAGACCAGA